Phacochoerus africanus (Common warthog) is the source of this 191-nucleotide small nuclear RNA. RefSeq annotates it as U2 spliceosomal RNA. The transcript has a single exon. The record is from RefSeq and is a predicted model, not a curated record. NCBI's taxonomy places the organism in Eukaryota, Metazoa, Chordata, Mammalia, Artiodactyla, Suidae.
AUCGCUUCUCAGCCUUUUGGCUAAGAUCAAGUGUAGAUAUUGUUCUACCCUUGGUUAUGUUUUCUUUCAUACUUACAAUUCUUCAUAGUGGUACAUAUAAAUCUAUCUUUUGCUCCUUAUCUUCUUAAUAUUCCUUGAUGGGGCUCUUCUCUUCUUCACAUAGUCAUUUCCCUGUGAUGGAGAGCCUCAUC